Molecule: small RNA, 27 nt
Filed under: Bombyx mori (domestic silkworm)
Lineage: Eukaryota; Metazoa; Arthropoda; Insecta; Lepidoptera; Bombycidae
Description: ovarian small RNA-33252
Source: RNAcentral
UGCAAACUGCGUUGGUCCUCGUCUACC